RNAcentral lists this ribosomal RNA (183 nucleotides) under Vibrio vulnificus. RNAcentral describes it as "partial 16S ribosomal RNA". It matches the Rfam family "Bacterial small subunit ribosomal RNA", at positions 1 to 176 of the family's 1533-position model. The record is from RNAcentral. Lineage: Bacteria; Pseudomonadati; Pseudomonadota; Gammaproteobacteria; Vibrionales; Vibrionaceae.
UUAAUUGAAGAGUUUGAUCAUGGCUCAGAUUGAACGCUGGCGGCAGGCCUAACACAUGCAAGUCGAGCGGCAGCACAGAGAAACUUGUUUCUCGGGUGGCGAGCGGCGGACGGGUGAGUAAUGCCUGGGAAAUUGCCCUGAUGUGGGGGAUAACCAUUGGAAACGAUGGCUAAUACCGCAUGA